Molecule: ribosomal RNA, 854 nt
Filed under: uncultured archaeon
Lineage: Archaea
Description: bacterial SSU rRNA
Rfam family: Archaeal small subunit ribosomal RNA
Source: RNAcentral
AUGCUGUGAUCCUGCCGGACCUGACUGCUAUCGGAUUGAUACUAAGCCAUGUGAGUCAUUGUAGCAAUACAAGGCAGAAAACUCAGUAACACGUAGCCAACCUACCCUAUGGACGGGGAUAACCUCGGGAAACUGAGGAUACCCCCCGAUAGAUCAUUAUACCUGGAACGGUUUAUGGUCCAAAUGAUUCGUCGCCGUAGGAUGGGACUGCGAUGUAUCAGCUUGUUGGUGAGGUAAUGGCCCACCAAGGCUAUUACUGCUACGGGCUCUGAGAGGAGAAGCCCGGAGAUGGGUACUGAGACACGGACCCAGGCCCUAUAUGGCGCAGCAGGCGAGAAAACUUUGCAAUGUGCGCAAGCAUAGCAAGGUUAAUCCGAGUGUUUCCUGCUAAAGGAAUCUUUAGCUAGUCCUAAAAACACUAGCGAAUAAGGGGUGGGCAAGUUCUGGUGUCAGCCGCCGCGGUAAAACCAGCACCUCAAGUGGUCAGCCGGAUUAUUGGGCUGCAAGCAUCCGUAGCCUGCUCUGUAAGUUUCCGGUUAAAUCCAUUAGCUUAACUGAUGGGCCGCCGGUUAAACUGCAGAGCGUGGGAGUGGGAGAGGUAGACGGUACUCGGUAGGAAGGGGUAAAAUCCUUUGAUCUAGUAGUGACCACCUGUGGCGAAGGCGUAGUACCAGAACACGUUCGACGGUGAGGGAUGAAAGCUGGGGGAGCAAACCGGAUUAGAUACCCGGGUAGUCCCAGCUGUAAACGAUGCGAACUCGGUGAUGCCCUGGCUUGUGGCCAGUGCAGUGCCGCAGGGAAGCCGUUAAGUUUGCCGCCUGGGAAGUACGUACGCAAGUAUGAAACUUAUGCCG